AUCCAAUUGAUGAGUCCCGAAUAGGACGAAAUGUGUGUCCUAGAU
Schistosoma mattheei is the source of this 45-nucleotide non-coding RNA. The record is from Rfam. Lineage: Eukaryota; Metazoa; Platyhelminthes; Trematoda; Strigeidida; Schistosomatidae.